CUAAGGAUGAUCCUUCAGCGAGCUCACGCUCACUAUCGGAUCGUUUUAGAAACAUCAGUGGCCAACAGAUCGCCAGAUCGUUGAGCUGCAUUGGCGGGAUUUCGCCGUCUUCGUUUCUCUUUCUUCGCGGACGAACACGCGCCGGGGCUGCGCUGUGCGAUUGCAUUCGGCGCUGGUCGCCGAUGCAUGCACGCAAGACCCUAGUCCUGAUAAGGAUAGCGUUAGGGGCUUGUAGCUCAGUUGGUUAGAGCGCGCGCUUGAUAAGCGUGAGGUCGGAAGUUCAAGUCUUCCCAGGCCCACCACGCUUCGCCGUUGGCUUUGCGUGGCACCGCCACGCGAGACAAGAAGCGAAGCGUGUCCGGCAUAGCCCCUCGGGCGGCGCCGGACUUAAGAGAGGCGCUUCGUCUUCUGGUUACGGGGCCAUAGCUCAGCUGGGAGAGCGCGUGCUUUGCAAGCAUGAGGUCGUCGGUUCGAUCCCGUCUGGCUCCACCAGCCUCCGCAGGCUUCGCCUGCUUCGGCUCGGCAAGCCAGCCGGUAGCGAAGGCUGCCGCGCCGUAGCCGAAAGGCGAAGGCGGGCUACUUCUGAUCCCGUAACCAUCAUCGUCCGCGAAACAUCACUUCGCACUCAUUAGUCCGGAUGGACAAUGAGCUGCGUGUUUUCUGACAUCGUAAAGAGGAGAUCGAUCCGAGUUGGGUCGUGCAGCAAAUCGUUGCGCGAGCCUUCAUUAUCUCCGGAUCAUUUCGGCGCUCGCGCGCCUUUCAGUGCGGCUCACAAGGUUGCACCGGGAAGAUGGGCGAGUUGUAAAUGAUCCUUUUAGCGAAGCUUUGACCGCCUCGCUAUCGGAACGAUCUUACGAAGCAAGCUGGUCUUUCUAGUCAAUGUCCGGCUGUACGUAGCAUUCAUCGAGGGUGCGCGCCGCAAGGCAAUCGUACAGACAACAUUCUGCCGAGUGUGUGGACAUUGAUAAUGAGAGC
Molecule: transfer RNA, 975 nt
Filed under: Bradyrhizobium sp. 11LoS12_8
Lineage: Bacteria; Pseudomonadati; Pseudomonadota; Alphaproteobacteria; Hyphomicrobiales; Nitrobacteraceae
Description: 16S-23S ribosomal RNA intergenic spacer
Rfam family: tRNA (bases 226-299)
Source: RNAcentral